GGUUAUUCCGUUACGAACGAGACCUUAACCUGCUAACUAGUCUAUCUGUGAACAACAGAUUGUACUUCUUAGAGGGACUAUUGUGCAAGAAGCCAAUGGAAGUUUAAGGCAAUAACAGGUCUGUGAUGCCCCUAGACGUGCUCGGCCGCACGCGCGUUACAAUGACUGGCGCAGAAAGUAUUUCCUGUCCUGGGAAGGUACGGGUAAUCUUAUUAAUACCAGUCGUGUUAGGGAUAGUUCUUUGGAAUUUUGGAUCUUGAACGAGGAAUUUCUAGUAAGUGCAAGUCAUCAGCUUGCGUUGAUUAUGUCCCUGCCGUUUGUACACACCGCCCGUCGCUUGUAGUAACGAAUGGUCUGGUGAACCUUCUGGACUGAGACAGCAAUGUUUCGGAAAAAUAAGUAAACCCUACCAUUUGGAACAACAAGAAGUCGUAACAAGGUAUCUGUAGGUGAACCUGCAGAUGGAUCAUUA
Molecule: ribosomal RNA, 472 nt
Filed under: Tetrahymena sp. BOLD:AAO5057
Lineage: Eukaryota; Ciliophora; Oligohymenophorea; Hymenostomatida; Tetrahymenidae
Description: SSU rRNA
Rfam family: Eukaryotic small subunit ribosomal RNA
Source: RNAcentral